UACGUAGGGGGCAAACGUUGUCCGGAUUUACUGGGUGUAAAGGGUGCUCAGGCGGUCUUGUAAGUCAGAAGUGAAAUCCUAGGGCUUAACUCUGGAACUGCUUUUGAUACUACAAGGCUUGAAUAUGGAAGAGGAGGAUGGAAUUUCUGGUGUAGCAGUGAAAUGCGUAGAUAUCAGAAAGAACACCAGUGGCGAAGGCGGUCCUCUGGUCCAUUAUUGACGCUAAAGCACGAAAGCGUGGGGAGCAAACAGG
This 253-nucleotide ribosomal RNA is filed under the name uncultured bacterium. Its description in RNAcentral is "partial 16S ribosomal RNA". It matches the Rfam family "Bacterial small subunit ribosomal RNA", at positions 524 to 776 of the family's 1533-position model. The record is from RNAcentral.